AAAUCUUAAAUUAAUUAAACUGCAAAUUUAACAAAGAAAUUAAAAUUCUAAGAUUUUU
Molecule: transfer RNA, 58 nt
Filed under: Haemaphysalis sulcata
Lineage: Eukaryota; Metazoa; Arthropoda; Arachnida; Ixodida; Ixodidae
Description: tRNA-Cys
Source: RNAcentral